This is a long non-coding RNA of Gasterosteus aculeatus aculeatus (three-spined stickleback), 903 nucleotides long. The record is from Ensembl. NCBI's taxonomy places the organism in Eukaryota, Metazoa, Chordata, Actinopteri, Perciformes, Gasterosteidae.
AGCCGCCAUGUUUACAGACCUCUCCGUGCCAGUGCGCCGCCGAUCGUGCAAGAAGGGGACCAUUUGUCAAACGGAACAAAAGCUGAUUCUUGUAGGCUACUCAUUAAAAUUUGGUUUUGGUCACAAUUCAUCAGCACAAAUGGGAAUGCGUGGAAAAAAGAAUGGAUGCACUCGAAAUGCAAAAUGAAUCCGAGCAAUGUUUCCUGUUGCAGAGCGUCCGAGGUCCCUCGCAGCGGCUAAUAGUGCGUUCAUGAAAGGAACGGCCUUAAGUUGAUACAUGAGCUACUCGUGCUUUCAUGCCUUUACUCUCGGGAAAACAAAGGGACAUAUUCAUACUGGGACGCGUGUCGCUGCACAGCCUUGACGGUACUUGCUGCGCCCAGCGAGCUACUGGGGACCCUGACUUAUUUUCUACCUCCACAUAAGUGAUGUGUCGGCCUUGAAAAGUCUCCCGUCUUCUCGGGAGACUGACGAUAGCAUCUGUAACGACUUAACGCUGCGAUGAUGGCAUCUUUUCCCCCUACAAUGAUGAAAUAUUCCACUUUACGAUGGAGGCAUGUAACCUUCACAUCAUUUGUGCCCACUUUAUGUCCAUAGAAAUCGUCCAUAAAUCCCCCCCAAAACGUGCUUGUUUGAGUGAUAACGUGCAGAUUCCAGUGGGCUCAGCAAAUGGGGGAGUGUAAUUCUCUUUAACGCUGUUUUUUUACUACACGCGUCACACGAUUACAUCUCGGCUCAUAAAGACAUGACCAUCAUGGUCUGAAAAACAUCAGACAUCCCACGGUAACGGCGUCUGUUCAGAGUGUAAGCCGUAAGUCUUUAACUCACCCCAGAUUUAAAUGAUUAGUCCAAUGUUUUCAAAAUGUUCAAAAAUCAUCCAGGCUUUGCAGAAAAUGAAUGGUG